Molecule: long non-coding RNA, 5738 nt
Filed under: Daucus carota (carrot)
Lineage: Eukaryota; Viridiplantae; Streptophyta; Magnoliopsida; Apiales; Apiaceae
Description: long non-coding RNA (DCAR_LNC003534)
Source: RNAcentral
CGUUAGGAAUUAUAUGUAUUUAAUGGCUAUAAAAAGGGGUUAUUUGUGCAAUUAUGUGUUAUGUGUUUAUCUGCCUAUGUGGUAUGUAUAUGCGAAGGGUAGAUAUAUAUAGGUCUUAAUACUUUUCAGAGUUAGUUAAUUUGUCUGAUCCGACGGUUAAAAUACUAUUUUACUAUCGUAUAGAAUUGAAGACAUUGACCGAGGCAUUGAUCGAGAAGUGAUUGAAAUGGGUAUCCAGAAUUAGCCAAGUAGUGUUGCAAGUUGAAGUAGGGCGGAGAUUUGUUAUAGAUAAAAGCUUGUCAGAAGCUGGCAGAAAGGAAUGAUAUGGCGGUAUAUAGUAUUAUUAGAAAUCUGACCUAGACACCAGAGUUAAGGCAAGUACUUCUACCUUUCUCUCGCAAUUUAGAAGCAAGUAUUUCUACCCUACUCCUCUAGUACCUAUAGAUACUAAAACCUUCUUUAUAUCAUGAUUCAAAUUAUUUGCAAUUACUUUCUUGUGAAGCAUAUCUAGUACUUUUAAACCUUUUGGUUGAACGGAUAACACUUUUGGUAUCGACUCUACACUAUGAUAUGCAUAAAGAAAUUGUUUUAACAAAAUGUUGUUCUGGCUCUUGAAUUACAUGAUAGAACUGCAGAUUGUUUUAAAAAUUAAACUGUUGGGUUGUUUUUGCGUAAGAGGCUCGGGCACCGGCCCAGCGUGAAAGGUGGCUCCUUAAGCCCGGAUUACCGGAAUUCGUAAUAUUUGUCAACCUUGCUGAAUAAGCUUGGUUUAUGGACUAUAGCAUGACUGAUCAUCUGUUAUAGCCAGGUGUCCAAUUAAUUUUAAAGCCCAAUAAAAUUGUGAAUAGUUUAAAAAGAAGUUACCCUGCCUUCAAGAGAUAUUUGCUUAUACAUUCAUUUCUGCAGUUUUAAAUAUUUUCACUUCUUUAUUAUGGCAUUGCUGUACAACAAAUAUCAAUUUCAUUUUGUUAUUCUUGCUGAGCAUUAUUGCUCAUUCUUGCUAUUCCUUCUAACCCUUUUCAGCUAGGAAUAAAGAUGAUUCACUUAAGACUAGGCAAGGAUUGCAAGUGGUUGAGUUUCAAGCAGAUGGACAGGUAGAGUAUUUAGGACGAUGUCAUUAAGACUAGAUGCAGUUGGAGUUCUGCAAUUCAAUUCAGUUGGAAAUUAGAUUUGUUUAUUUGGUUAUCAGCUACUCUUCUUAUCGAGGUUUAGCUGAUAAUGUUGUUUAAUUUGUAAAUAAGAUUUUAUAGUUUUAGUUUCUGAUUUCAAUGCUGUAGCCUGUAUGCGAUCCUGUUUUCAGGGGGUGAAAUUGAUUUUGAAUUAAAGACCUUCUUUUAAAAAAAAAAAAUAUCCAGGUUUAGAAAUACUUGUUUUUACUUUCUUCCAAAAAUACAGGUUUUAAAUUGUUUUUCUUUUAAUGGCUCAAAACUACAGGUUUUAAAUUAUUUUUAUUUACACGUGGCACCAGAUCUAGACCCCCGGAUUUGAGGGAUGUCACAGUUGGUAUCAGAGCUACAGGUUAUAAGUUAUUGAAAUCAGAAUGUAGGUUGUAACUUGUCUAAUAAGAUAGACACGUUAAGUGAAACCUCACAUAUAGGUAAGUUCAGAUUAGUGGUGUAACCUCAUAUAGAGGUAUCGUAAGACUAUUUGGGGAUAGUCCUUCUGAGCAUAAUAAAAUGAAGCUAAACGAUUAUGUUUAAGUGAUUAUGGUUAUAGACACAACAAUUCCUAAUUCUAGUUCUUCCAGUCCCUAGUGGCCUAGUUUAUUGACCAAUUCAGAUUUAUAUCAUUGUAAGAGGGUCAAAGUUAGACCUAUCAACAGAACCUUCAAGCUAGAACCAGUAGAGAUUCUCACACAGUCUAAUGUAUCCUUUAUAGUAUCUUCCAAGUGUUGAGUAUUAUUUGAAGAGUCACCUUUUGAUUCUUGUCAGAGAUAUCUAGAAUUGGUGAAAGAAUAGAGGUGUUAACAAGUCCGAGUUUACAGCUUUGUAUAUAGUUAAGUAGUGAGCGUUAGAGCUACGUAGAGUUUGUGUUAGAUUAUUCGAUCUAGUACUUAUGUGUGAGUUAAGAUGUCAACGCUCUAUGGUGAUGAUUGUAUAAAGUUGGAUAAGACUUUUGACCGACAACGAUAUCAAUGAUGGGAUCUUCAGAGGCUAUUACUAGUCAACGAUAAUAUAUGCAAGUGGUCACUAAAACGUCAAGAAAAAUCACUAGAAUCAGAACGAGUCAUCAAAAGAAUCGAUCAAAAAGACAUCUGUGAGAAUCCUGGCAAUACCUUCCUCAUUGUUGAUAUAUUGAUUUCUUUCCCCAUCAAUGAUUUGUUCUGACAUCACUUUAAAAAAAAAAAAUAUUUGAUAAAGAGUAUAUUUUUACCUUUCACUCGAGUUCUCGAAUGAUACUUGUGCUUACUGUCACACCUAUAGAAUCUAUUCAAUCUUGGUAAUUUCGAACCCUUUCAUAUUCUCUACUCUAACUGAGAUGAACAACCCUACCUAUAGGGGACACAAGGACUACCUGUCUGUGUGAUAGGAGUUGGAUGGGACGCCAUCACUUGUGUGUGUUGUACAUUACAAGAAGGUUAACUACCUUUAGUAGUGUCUUAAAUUAGACACGCAACACCGAGUUCUAUAGACCAUAUUGAUCUCUCAGUUAUUCAUUUAUUUCAAUCACGUAACACUUGCUCCAAUAUGUGAAAUCUGUCAUAUCUUUUACCUUCAAGAUUCUUCUAAUCUCUAAUAGUUGGAGGUAUGCCAACCGAGUUGCCAAUAUGAAUUAAGACUUUGUAGUAAGAAGCACCAGGGAUGAAAGCGAAUGACAAUGCUGGUUAUAUCAGAAAGGAAUAUUAUGGAUUAUAGAGAUCGUACACUCUAGUUUUCUUUUUGAUGAUUCCGAGGACGGAAUCUUUUUAAGGGGGGUAGAUUGUGACGACCCGGAUUUUCAGAAAUUAUUUUAUUAUUUUUAUUCAUGAUUAUUCGAGACAAAUGAGGAAUAAAUUUCAAUAUUUUAUUCUAGUUUGAUAAUUUUCAAAAAUAUUUGUUUAAAUUAUUUUCCUAGUCAUUGUGAUUAUGAGAAAAUAUCUGUUGAUUGUACAAUUAUAUGUUACGAGAUUUAAUUGAAUUAGUUGUCUACUAUUAUGUCUGUGUGUGCAUUUAUUUUUACUUUUAAUAUUACUGUAUUGUUUUAUUGAAAUUUAUUAUCCUCUUAAAUGGAUAUUUAUUUUUGUAAAAAUACAAAGAUAAUUUCAAAAAUUAUUUUAAUUGCUCGAUAGUGAUCAUAAAUAUGUUUAGAAGUUUUUAAAAUAUUAAAAAUCCAAUUUCUACAAGGACAUGAUUUUUAAUUAGUUUCUAAACGCAGCUAACUUCUUAAUUUUGUAUAAAUUUUGAAAAUGCUCUAUAAAUCUUGAAACUUUUAUUUUAUGAGUUUUAUAAUAUUCGGUAAUUUAUAAAAUUAGUUUGUUAAUUUUUCGAGAAAGUUUUAAUGCGAGUUAUCCCGUAAAUCAACUAAAUAGCGGGUGUUUGGAUGAUUAUUCAGCUUAAAAUAAAACGUGGCAGCCUUUGGCCAAACCACGUGCCCUGCUUUUCACCACCGCCAUCCCUUUUCUUCAUUUUAUAUACAUCAGCCUCUCAAUCUCUCUCUCUCUCUCCCUGUGAAAUCCUCCAUCUCUCCCUCUCCGCUCCUCUUUCUUUUCUCACCCAUCUUCCUCUCUUUCUUGGCAUCACCGUCCCUUCCCUGCAGCCGCCGAAUUAUGCCGCUGCCACCUCUUUCCGGCGACCACCAUAGCCCUGCACCAAUUAUAAAUCAGUGGGUAUAAAGCUUAAUUUCUCUUUGUCAAAUCAGUUCUAUAUAAACGUAUAUAUACAUGUGGUGUUGUGUUUAUAUGGUUUAAAUUGAUUUAUAUAAUCGAUUUAUGUGUGCUUGUAUGUAUAUAAACUGAUUAUAUGCUGGUUAUUGAAAUUUGAAGGUUGAUUGAAUUUUUGAGAUUGAGAUUGGUGUUAGUAAUCGUAUGAUUGAAUUGUGUGCUUAAUUGAUAUUUGAAUUGGUUGUUGGAGGUUCAUUAUAAAUGGUGCGCCAACUAGUAGUGUAAUCGGAUGACUUGGGUACUUGAUUUAUGGGAAUAUAUAACUGAGUAUUAAAGCUUUAAGGUCUGAGAUUUUGUGUAAAUGUUUUCAGAAUGGUGUUUUAAGAGUUUAAGUAUUGGGCUAAAAAAAAUUUAGAUUUACACAUAAUCGGUUGAAUUGUAAGUUGCUGCUGAUCUGUUUUGCAGUAAAAUUCUGGGCUUCUAGAGUCGAAUUAUAUGCUUAAUAUUUUUGUGGUUAUGUGCUCCUCAGAGUCUAGUUUAUGUGCGCAAAAGAAUCGAAUCAAUUCGAUUAGCGAGCUAGGAGAUAUGACCGUUUUAGUAUAGUAUGGUGCUGAAAAUUCUGGGCAGGUUUGUCCUGUUCUAGGCUCUGUUUUACUGCUUUAAACUUGAAGUUUCUUUCUGAAAAUUUUACUGUAGGUUGGAAUAAUAUUCAGGAGUGUCUCAUAAAAAUUUUGUAUUUAAAAGAUAAAUUUUCAAUUUAUUAAAAAUCAUAGACCGAGGGCUGUUUGAACUAUUUGUUCUAGUUUUUCUUUCUUUGCUAGUGCAUAGUAUGAGGUUAUACUUGGCUAAUUGCAUAUGAUUGAUUAUUACAUUGAUUGGCUCGGUUAACCUUUAUAUCUAAUUAAACGUGCUUUGCGUAUAACAAAUUAGUAAUCCUGCUAAAAGAUUUUAUUAUAUGUUCACUACAAGUCAAGACAGAUUUUCUGUUCACUGCAAGCCAAGGGAUCUUUUUUUAUAUUAAUAAUUCAUGUGUUAGCAAUGGUAUUGGUUGGUUGUUGGUAUUGCAAACAGGUGGAUAGUCCGAUAAACAGAGGAGAUGAUGCCGAAUUUUCGUUAGGAAUUAUAUGUAUUUAAUGGCUAUAAAAAGGGGUUAUUUGUGCAAUUAUGUGUUAUGUGUUUAUCUGCCUAUGUGGUAUGUAUAUGCGAAGGGUAGAUAUAUAUAGGUCUUAAUACUUUUCAGAGUUAGUUAAUUUGUCUGAUCCGACGGUUAAAAUACUAUUUUACUAUCGUAUAGAAUUGAAGACAUUGACCGAGGCAUUGAUCGAGAAGUGAUUGAAAUGGGUAUCCAGAAUUAGCCAAGUAGUGUUGCAAGUUGAAGUAGGGCGGAGAUUUGUUAUAGAUAAAAGUUUGUCAGAAGCUGGCAGAAAGGAAUGAUAUGGCGGUAUAUAGUAUUAUUAGAAAUCUGACCUAGACACCGGAGUUAAGGCAAGUACUUCUACCUUUCUCUCGCAAUUUAGAAGCAAGUAUUUCUACCCUACUCCUCUAGUACCUAUAGAUACUAAAACCUUCUUUAUAUCAUGAUUCAAAUUAUUUGCAAUUACUUUCUUGUGAAGCAUAUCUAGUACUUUUAAACUUUUUGGUUGAACGGAUAACACUUUUGGUAUCAACUCUACACUAUGAUAUGCAUAAAGAAAUUGUUUUAACAAAAUGUUAUUCUGGCUCUUGAAUUACAUGAUGGAACUGCAGAUUGUUUUAAAAAUUAAACUGUUGGGUUGUUUUUGCGUAAGAGGCUCGGGCACCGGCCCAGCGUGAAAGGUGGCUCCUUAAGCCCGGAUUACCGGAAUUCGUAAUAUUUGUCAACCUUGCUGAAUAAGCUUGGUUUAUGGACUAUAGCAUGACUGAUCAUCUGUUAUAGCCAGGUGUCCAAUUAAUUUUAAAG